CAUUGUCGAGACCCGAAACAGACCGAGCAAUCUUGAAAACCGGUGAACUGAAUGUACGGCGGCGGCGUGACCCGUCGCCGCCGGCGCCCAGGCCGCUGCGGUCGCCUCCUCGUCUGGGGCCCCGUCAUGCGGGCUGGGUGGAACAAAAAACCGGCGCGACUCUGCGCCAAGGGACAUGUACAAUGCGAGCAUCUCCGGCGCUUCCGGGGAGCCUCUCGCGGGCUCUGCGGRGCGCUGCUGUGUGCUUCUUAUGGAUUGUAGGACUCUCGGCAAUGGAUAUCUUGGCUCUUGCAUCGAUGAAGAACGCAACGAAAUGCGAUACGUGGUGCGAAUUGCAGAAUCCCGUGAACCAUCGAGUUUUUGAACGCAAGUUGCGCCUGAGGCCAUCUGGCCAAGGGCACGUCCGCCUGGGCGUCAUGCAUUACGUCGCUCCGUUCGCCAUCCACAACCACUCAGAUGUGACGGUGGCGGGCCGGAUGCGGAGAGUGUCCCGGCGUGCAUUUGGUUAUGCGGCGGGAUGAAGAACGUGUUGCUUUCCUCCUGGACAGGGUCGGUAAGGGGUGGAUGGAAGCCGCCGCUUGUCUGGCGCACAUUAUCGCUACCGCGCCGCUGCAUUGGGGAAGGAUCAGCUUGACAUCCUCGGAGCGCCCGGCUCAGACGCAGCCGGGGGCGCCUUCAAAUGCGACCCCAGGAUGGGCGGGAU
This 703-nucleotide ribosomal RNA is filed under the name Epiblema grandiflorum. Its description in RNAcentral is "eukaryotic LSU rRNA". The record is from RNAcentral. Lineage: Eukaryota; Viridiplantae; Streptophyta; Magnoliopsida; Asparagales; Orchidaceae.